RNAcentral lists this ribosomal RNA (414 nucleotides) under uncultured bacterium. RNAcentral describes it as "bacterial SSU rRNA". It matches the Rfam family "Bacterial small subunit ribosomal RNA", at positions 355 to 786 of the family's 1533-position model. The record is from RNAcentral.
UGGGGAAUAUUGCACAAUGGGGGAAACCCUGAUGCAGCGACGCCGCGUGAGCGAAGAAGUAUUUCGGUAUGUAAAGCUCUAUCAGCAGGGAAGAAAAUGACGGUACCUGACUAAGAAGCCCCGGCUAACUACGUGCCAGCAGCCGCGGUAAUACGUAGGGGGCAAGCGUUAUCCGGAUUUACUGGGUGUAAAGGGAGCGCAGGCGGUCUUGCAAGUCUGAUGUGAAAGCCCGCGGCUCAACUGCGGGACUGCAUUGGAAACUGUGGGACUUGAGUGUCGGAGGGGCAAGUGGAAUUCCUAGUGUAGCGGUGAAAUGCGUAGAUAUUAGGAGGAACACCAGUGGCGAAGGCGGCUUGCUGGACGACAACUGACGCUGAGGCUCGAAAGCGUGGGGAGCAAACAGGAUUAGAUACC